Gallus gallus (chicken) is the source of this 4200-nucleotide long non-coding RNA. RefSeq lists it as uncharacterized. The transcript has 5 exons. The record is from RefSeq and is a predicted model, not a curated record. Lineage: Eukaryota; Metazoa; Chordata; Aves; Galliformes; Phasianidae.
GGGGCACCCGGAGCGCGGCGCUCCGCACCUUGACCGGCGGCACCGGGCGGGCCGGGCCGGGGCGGCUCCGGUACCGGGGGCGGGCGCCGCUCUUUGACCCUCGGGUUGGUCGGGGAGCCCGGUUUUGUCGGGAAAGCCGGAUCCGCGCCGGGAUGCGGACAAAGACACGGAGCAGCUGUUCGGGAAUAAAGCUGAAAUAGUAGAACCUGGGAGAGAAGUUAGCUUGGGGGAGCUAUUAUUUUCGCCGCAAAACCCUCGGGAGGUAUUAAACAGCUGCAUCCAAACGACGGAGCGACCCAAAGGCCGGGAUCCCACCGCCUCGCCGUCGAGCAGCGGGCGCGUGGCUCAGCGCACGGCCGCAGGUUCCUCUGCAAAGAGCAGCGUAGCAGAGCGGUUGGGAGAGCUGUGCUGGACAGAGGACGGCCGGCCGCGAGCGGAGCCUCCCACCGGCGAGCAUUGCCAGGCGAGGAGAGAAAACCUGGGCAGCCUUAAAACACUCAGAGUGUAAUGUGACGCUUCCAAACCUUUGCAGCCUGCGCACACACGCAGUCUUCCUCAGGGGUCCCCAAAAGGAGUUGUGCCACUCCCUGAGCAUCCCCCAGCCCAGCAUGGUGUUGGGAUGCAGGCAGAAGCCUCGGUGGGUGCAGGGCUGUGCCAGGAGCAGCCACCGUUUCUACUGCAGAUGUGAACAGGGGGUGCCCAGCUGGGUGGAAGGGCGAAAGUCUGCUCGAGGAGCCUGAAGACGCACCAUCCCCACUUAUCGCCCCAGAGGCAGGCUAUCUAGCUGACAAGCUGUGCGGUGAAAAACCAGGUGCCCAUGUGCCUGCUGCUCACCCAAGGCCUGAAAGGGAUCAGCUGCUCAUUUUGCAGAGCAAAGUAAGAUGGCAACAAGGUUUGUUUUUUUAUGUAACUUAUGUAUUGAUUGUUUUUUUCCUGUAAAACCUUCUGUAUUUUCUACUGCUGUCAAUAGAUGUGCACACAUUUCCCCAUCUUUUUUUUUUUUUCUUUUUUUUUGUCAUUCGAAGCAACAUUCAAUUAAAAUAUUUUGAGUGAAAUCUGCAGAGUUUUGGUGAGAAUGUGAAGUUUAACAAGGUGAUCGGCCUUAUUUCUGUGGUCAGGGGAUUUUUUAGCCCUAGGGUAUUUGUCUCGGUUGCGUCAAUUUUUACAACAUCUGAUUGUAGCAGAACCAGAGCCCCUAAAUCUGAAGCCCCCUCUCAGUGAACCUCUUAUUUCCUUGGGUUCAUUUGUUUCUUUAAGCAGACGAUCACUUUGUGUGUACUUCUGUCCCAGAAAAGAGUUUAUAGUUGAGAGCUGCUAAUUAUAUAUUGCUGCUGUGGAGAUGGGGAUGGGAAACUUUCCAAAUAUUUAUCCUUUUAAAGGUGAGGUAACUUAAAGGCAUGCGUGCAGUUUCCUUUAAACAAGCCAUUCCUUUACAAUUUCCAUAUCAAAGUACUACCGAACCCAAUAUAAGCGUUCACUGAACCUGAGCAGCACUGGAAUAAUAACUUUUUUAAAUCAGAGCUUUCUUGCUGAAGAAAUGUCAAAAAAAAAAAAAAAAGAAAAGAAAAGAAAAAAGAAAGAAAGAAAGAAAGAAAAUAUUCCUGAAAGGAGUUCUGCCUUUUCAUCACCAGGGUGGGAUUUUUUGGUCCAAAAUAUUUAUUAAUCAGGAUAAAACAUGAGUUCACAAAUCCCUGCAGAGCUGUGGCUCAAUUCGGAGUGUAUCUGUGUCCUCAGAAGGCGAAACGUGAGAUUAAGGGCUGCAGGCUCUGCAAAAACACCGUUUGAAAAGACUGAAACUUCCAAAGCAGGGCUUGGAGGUAGUGAGCAACAGUCAUGCAAAGCAGUGUGGUGGGCUGGUAAAAUGUUCAGAGGAAAAGUAAGAUUUGUAGCCAAAAUAUUUUUUCUACAUUGGUUUAUGUCACCUUUCCUGCAGAUUUAGUAACCCCUGAAGAAUGUAAAACAAUGGGCUGCAUGAUAGCAUAAACACAAAACGAAUUUAAAACCUCUUAAUGUAUGCCAUGCAUUGGAAAUUUUAUAUAUAGAAUUUUACAACAUCUAUAAAAUUAAAUUUUCAAACAAGAACACUGCCCAUCAGUUUGCAUGAAUUGUUACAUCUUCACUGAGGCAAUACUGACUUAGAGCAUCCCUACGUUCAUCACAUGUGGACUUGUUGGCCAUUGUUGAAUACGUCCAAGUGGACUCUGAAGAUUUUCUCCAUCAUGGAUUAUUGCUGGCCCUUCCUACCCACAGACCAGUUUUUCUGUAUACUUGAACUAACUGUAGGCUGAGAACCACAGGGCACGAUGCCGUGCAAAGUGGGAACACCUUCCGUGUCUUCACACUUAUUCUGAUUCAAAGCAUCUCUCAAGUAUAUGUGAACACUAUUUAACACUAACACUACAUAUGUGAACAGCUAUUUAAACUAGCUUUAAGUAUUUUAACUCCUGCCACAAUGUGGGGUUGGAAUGCCCGAUUUACAUCGAGGUUGGGGUUUCACUACUAACAUUAAACUCAUCCCAGAGUAGAAAACCUAAAACUUCAUUUGACUACAUUUAAAUCCUGAGAACAGGAAAAUGUUUCUGAUCCACACUUUCAGGUAAAACUGAAUUGAAAGCUUUGGAUUCCACUCUGUGGUAUCUGUUGAUUUUGUGAGUGGGUAGAACAGCCAGAUUUGUCCAAAAGUUUGUUUAUAAAAAGGUAUGCAAUAAGGCCUCAUAAAAGGACCUCAGGUGCUGGGAAUGCACAAACAGAUUGCAAAGCCGAGCUAAUUUUCAGAAUGUUGCAAUCACCUUAUUUUUAAUUUCAUUUUUUCUCCAAAUUUAAAAAUAUUUCGCCCCUCCCUAAUAUCAUCUUUUUACUGUUCAACAUGAAAGACUCAUAGAAGUAACAAAGGCAAUUGAUUAUCCAGGACAGCAGCAUCAUGAGAGCAACCAAGCAUUAUCCGGUGAUCAAAACAAACAAACCAGGACAGCAAUAGAGUGUAAUUGUGGGCUUUUCUUUUUUCUUUUCCUUUUUUCUUUUUUUCUUCUUUUUUUCUUUUUUUUUUUCCUCUUACUUUCUUCCUUUGUUUCUCAUUUAUUGUGUCCCUUCUUAGUUUUGUUUUUCUCUUUAGAUGCUCUCCGUAAUGACAGGUAAAUUAUUUCAGACAGAUAUGUUGGAGUUUUUUUAUCUGUCUUUUUAAAUUUUAGUGCUUCCUUUACACUUUGUUAGAUAUGCCCUCAGAAUUUAUCACAGUCAUGGUACAAAAGAGCUCCUGAGCACCUGGCUGUGUUGUUUCACUGAGCACCCAGUCCCCCGGUGCCAUGUUGAGUGCACAUGUCCUAGUGCUGAAGGUACUGUGCAUUGCGUCUUUCUGUAACGUGCAGGGUAAUGUUUGGGUUACUUCAUUAUUGCCUCAUUGAAACAAAUACUGAGGAAUAAAUUUUAUGAGGUCCUUUGUGAAGGUUCAGGGAGAAGUGCAUGUCUCAAAGAAGAUUUGUGCACGUUGUCUUCUGUGAAUUAGCAGAACGGGUAAACGAUGCAGUGAUGUGAUAGGAUAUGCUGCAGUAUGCUACAAGAUAUGAACUGCUUGGGAUCCCAUCUAUCGUGAUCUUUGUACACCUGGUCUCCUCAGCUCCCUCCAAGAGCUGAGCACCUUAGCCCUAUAUGGAAGUAAAAGAAACAUGUCCCGGCUCCUGCCCCUGUCUUUGCUCCCCUGUUUAUCUCACUUUGCUCUAAUGAGCUCAGAGAAUGGCAGAGAGGCACCAAAGGCACAAUCUAGCCUUUUAUCAAUACAACAGCAACAUAAGGUUUUUUGUAAGACAGCAGGGCCAGAUCCUUGCCCAGUGUGUUGACUUGGUAUUGAGGUGUUGUGCUUGACGUGGGGAGACAAGGGGUCCCGUUCAUGACGGCUGUUAAUGCGUUUUGUUUAAAAUGCUUUAUUUCCCCUUUCAUGCCAAAUAUGCCAAGCAAGGAGUGCUUUCCUGGUGCCAGAUUUCAUCUGAAAUUGGUCCUAUGCUGAACAAGUUGGGGCCACUGAGAAGCAGAAAGUGGAUGAAGCAAGAUCCUAAAAGGGAAAGACCAAUGUUUUAUUUACUACAAUAAACCCUAAACCCAGGUUUAUCACUAACUAGUCGUAUUUUCUGUUUGUGUUUGUCUUUGUGGUUUGACAUUUGCUCAUGCUGUGAUAGCUUCAUCAAAAUACAUUUUUUAGAAAAAGCA